AAUGAAUGAAUGGAGGAAUCAGUAAUGGAGGAACCAAUGAAUGGAGGAAUCAAUGAAUGAAUGAAUCAACGAUGGAGGAAUCAAUGAAUGGAGGAACGAUGAAUGAAUGGAGGAAUCAAUCAAUGAAUGGAGAAAUCCAUCAAUGGAGGAAUCGAUGGUGGAGGAACCAAUAAAGGAAGGAAUCAAUGAAUGGAGGAAUCAAUCCAUGAAUGGACGAAUCAAUGACGGAGGAAUCGAUGGAUGAAUGGAGGAAGCAAUGAAUGAAUGAACCGAUGAAUGAACGAACCAAUGAAUGGAGGAAGCAAUGAAGGAAGGAAUCAAUGAAUGGAGGAAGGAAUCAACGGAGGAAUCCAUCAAUGAAUGGGGGAAGGAAUCAAUGGAGGAACCAAUGGAUGAAUGGAGGAAUCAAUGAAUGAAUGAACCAAUGAAUGAAUGAACAGAUGAUGGAGGAGCGAUGAAUGGAGGAAUCAAUCAAUGAAUGGAUGGAGGAA
RNAcentral lists this long non-coding RNA (491 nucleotides) under Gallus gallus (chicken). The record is from RNAcentral. Lineage: Eukaryota; Metazoa; Chordata; Aves; Galliformes; Phasianidae.